GCGCAAUCAAUUGCCCCCUAAUUAGGGGCCAGUAUGAACGGACAAACGAGAGCCCACCUGUCUCUUCUUCACCCCUAAAACCCUAUCUUCAGGUGAAAAAGCCUGAAUCCCUAUAAAAGACAAGAAGUCCCCGUCGAGCUUCAAUCCACCAAGCCCUUCCAAUCCCCCAGCAUACCCCCCGCUUCCACCGAUUUUUGUUGGGGCAACAAAGGGCCCUCCACCACCCUCUAAACACCCGACCCCCAGUCCCCCCACAGACCCUCCCACGACCUCAGACACCAG
This 282-nucleotide ribosomal RNA is filed under the name Eunicidae environmental sample. RNAcentral describes it as "partial 16S ribosomal RNA". The record is from RNAcentral. Lineage: Eukaryota; Metazoa; Annelida; Polychaeta; Eunicida; Eunicidae.